AUUGAACGCUGGCGGCAGGCCUAACACAUGCAAGUCGAGCGAGCGGCGGACGGGUGAGUACUGUCUGGGAAACUGCCUGAUGGCUGGGGAUAACUACUGGAUACGGUAGCUAAUACCGCAUACCAUCAGAUGUGCCCAGAUGGGAUUAGCUAGUCGGUGGGGUAAUGGCUCACCUAGGCGACGAUCCCUAGCUGGUCUGAGAGGAUGAUCAGCCACACUGGAACUGAGACACGGUCCAGACUCCUACGGGAGGCAGCAGUGGGGAAUAUUGCACAAUGGGCGCAAGCCUGAUGCAGCCAUGCCGCGUGUAUGAAGAAGGCCUUCGGGUUGUAAAGUACUUUCAGCGGGGAGGCGUUACCCGAAGAAGAAGCACCGGCUAACUCCGUGCCAGCAGCCGCGGUAAUUC
Molecule: ribosomal RNA, 406 nt
Filed under: uncultured bacterium
Lineage: Bacteria
Description: partial 16S ribosomal RNA
Rfam family: Bacterial small subunit ribosomal RNA
Source: RNAcentral